AAAAUCUGGAUUUCAGCGUUACGUAAUUUGUGUGCGACGCUCAAACACUCUUGCGAUACGAUACGGUUUCCAAAGAAUCCGAUUUCGGGGAAACUGUGGAUGGACUUGUGCUGUUUGCAGGCAUACUAUUCUACUACCGGAAACACCCGAUUUUGCAGUCUUCAUGUGAAUUACGAGCUGGAUCUGUACGUGGCCGCAGCCAACGGGAAGCUGAGAACUAUACCUGGUGCACCUCAAGGUUUCCAAUGCCGAACUUAAAUGAAACAAACCAGCAUGGAAGAGAGACUGCUUCUGACGUUGGCACUGCUGCUGCUUCUGGACUACUACUGCUGCUGGGGCUACUGCUGCUCCUGGGAUUACUGUUGUUGAUGGGACUCUUGCUACUGCUGCUGGCAUUGCUGCCGCCCAUAAAUUGUUUUCUCCAAGC
This is a long non-coding RNA of Wyeomyia smithii (pitcher-plant mosquito), 427 nucleotides long. RefSeq lists it as uncharacterized. The record is from RefSeq and is a predicted model, not a curated record. Lineage: Eukaryota; Metazoa; Arthropoda; Insecta; Diptera; Culicidae. The transcript has 3 exons.